RNAcentral lists this ribosomal RNA (465 nucleotides) under uncultured bacterium. RNAcentral describes it as "partial 16S ribosomal RNA". It matches the Rfam family "Bacterial small subunit ribosomal RNA", at positions 28 to 507 of the family's 1533-position model. The record is from RNAcentral.
GACGAACGCUGGCGGCGUGCUUAACUCAUGCAAGUCGAACGGAAAGGCCCCUUUGGGGGUACUCGAGUGGCGUACGGGUGAGUAACACGUGCGUAACCUGCCCUUGACUUCGGGAUAACUUCAGGAAACUGGGGCUAAUACCGGAUAGGAAUCCUUGCUGCAUGGUGGGGGUUGGAAAGCUUCGGCGGUUUUGGAUGGACUCGCGGCUUAUCAGCUUGUUGGUGGGGUAGUGGCUUACCAAGGCUUUGACGGGUAGCCGGCCUGAGAGGGCGACCGGCCACAGUGGGACUGAGAUACGGCCCAGACACCUACGGGAGGCAGCAGUGGGGAAUAUUGCACAAGGGGCGGAAGCCUGAUGCAGAAACGCCGCGGGCGGGAGGACGGCCUUCGGGUUGUAAACCGCUUUCAGCAGGGGCGAAGCUUGUGGUGACGGUACCUGCAGAAGAAGCACCGGCUAACUACGUG